GCUCGCUCGGGUUUGUUUGCACAGUUCACCGUUCGUCCAGCAUCACGACAAAUACGAAAAUAAGCAAACGUGAGUUCAGAAUCGAAGCAAACUAGUAAAAGACUCUGAGGGCUUUAGAGCACCAGAAGACCUUCGUGGGGAGGGGACCGGUCGCUAUGGCAACAGCCAGUGAUGCAAUCAGCACAGCAGAGCAGCUUGCCUCAUCGGGUUGGGAGCGGAAACUUUCCGUCAUGAACACAGGUGGUUUGCACAGGUCUCCGGGAAAAGCGACGCGUUGCUGUGAGAUGACGUUUUGGUGUCGUAAUGACGGGCGACAGCUGUGGAGAUGAGCGCUGUGUGACCGUUUGGGAAAUGUCACGGCGGAUGCGCAUCAUGCGCAGACGCCUGCACUGCGUGUGAGUGGGAUGCGGCUGCACCUGCACUCACAUGCGCUUCGCAGCCUCGGCCGCAGCCGCGUGCGUGAUCCUGACCUGCAGUGAAUCCUAUUCAUUAUUAUACCAGAUGUUGCCUUCUACUGUAGCUGAUGGAAGCGAUGUUUAGCACAGACAGCUAACAGCUAACGGCAGCUUCACAACGAUGUGAGUUCUACGUUUCCCAUAAUUCUACCAACAGAACCUUUUCAUUAGCCUUAAAUGACGAGGGAUUUCCUAAACAACCUGAAGUAACUCUCACCUCACCGCUGGUUGCCUUUGCUCUGUAUUUUACUGUAACCGUGGGAAACGUUUCAAAGACUAAAAUGACUCAUUAAAGCUUCUGUAGAAUUACAAUCCCUAACCCCGGCUGUAAAAGCAGAGCCCGAACCAAUUUACAGUAAAUGCAGCAGUUUCCUCAAGUUACAAGACUGCAUGCAGGCACACAGCGCCACACACACACACACACUGUUUGCCUUCAGUGACACUAACCCCUAAUUAUAGAGUUACACAGUGAACUGAGGUGCAUGAGACUCCAGCGGAAAAAAACAGGCUCUCAAGAAAAUAUACAGCCACACUCCAGGCGGCCUGAUUGCUUAUUAUCGGAAGCCUCUGACACUUUUCGCAGAACAUUGGAUGUUUAUGCUCAUCGCGUUGUGUGAAUAUGGAAACCGAGCCGUUCACACGGCGUGCGUACGUAAAAGCCGUUCAAGGACCAAAUUACAGCCGCAAACAAACCGGAGCGCGUGCAUUCACGGGAUGCUCACAGUCAAGAAACGCACAACCGCCGUUAAACCGUCCUCGGCUCUUUGCCGUAGUCCUCGUUCUGCACCUCUCUCUCUUUCUUUGUCGGUCGUUAUGGAAAUGAACCGGCAGACGCAUGUGCACAGUUGUCAGAUAUAACACAGACGGGCUCUGUUUGUUUUUCUCGCUCUGCCGAGGUGUAACUUUAAAAUGGAGAGGAGCAUUACAGUAUGUGAGAGUAAGUUGUAGUUGUAGCGGUGGCAAACUGAAUAUGACACGCGGCGCCCGACUCCAGGUAAAAAUCCUCAGCCUCCUCUACGCUCACUUCAUAUAGUAAAGGAAGCGACUGAGCACAAACAUUAAAAUAAUACAGAUUUACAGUCAUUUGUCUUUGUUUCUUCCGCUCUGCCCUCUGCAUCACUUGCUGCUAUCAUAAAUCUUAUUAGAGCUCAGUAAG
This is a long non-coding RNA of Betta splendens (Siamese fighting fish), 1611 nucleotides long. RefSeq lists it as uncharacterized. Lineage: Eukaryota; Metazoa; Chordata; Actinopteri; Anabantiformes; Osphronemidae. The transcript is spliced from 3 exons. The record is from RefSeq and is a predicted model, not a curated record.